Molecule: non-coding RNA, 482 nt
Organism: Danio rerio (zebrafish)
Lineage: Eukaryota; Metazoa; Chordata; Actinopteri; Cypriniformes; Danionidae
Source: RefSeq, a predicted model, not a curated record
CAUUUAUAUAAAUUACACUCUCUAGUAUGUUUUGGGAUCGUUUUACUCCAACGCUAACGGGGCUUUUAUUUUGCCUUUAUCAGCUGCGCGUCAUUACGUCACAAUGUGAGCGCCAAUGCUGCGUGCAGUUAUUCCACAGAGGAAUGUGUUUGGGUUUUGGGGCUCCAUUCGGAGUUUGAGGUGAAGCAGAUAAACAUGGAGCUUGUGAUUAAAGAAGUGAUUGAGGAGUUCUUACUCUUUCCGGAGACCUGCAGGGUCAAAGAGCAAACGGAGGAGCUGCUGGGUCAGUGUCCGUUCCUCUGUGGAAGCUAGCCCAAUGGUAUCACAACUAAAACUAAAGUACCACUGUGGUCCAUGAUGAACUGCACAUUUUACUUCACAGUAUGCAUUAUACACGAUUUCUUCUUCGAAAAUAACUGUAUAUUAGUAAUUUAAAAAAUUGUUGCAAUUAAAAAAUAUCUUGCCUUUGUUUAAAGGUGCCG